Molecule: ribosomal RNA, 425 nt
Filed under: uncultured bacterium
Lineage: Bacteria
Description: partial 16S ribosomal RNA
Rfam family: Bacterial small subunit ribosomal RNA
Source: RNAcentral
GUGGGGAAUAUUGGGCAAUGGGCGAAAGCCUGACCCAGCAACGCCGCGUGAAGGAAGAAGGUUUUCGGAUCGUAAACUUCUAUCAUUGGUGAAGAUAAUGACGGUAGCCAAGAAGGAAGCCACGGCUAACUACGUGCCAGCAGCCGCGGUAAUACGUAGGGGGCAAGCGUAGUCCGGAAUGAUUGGGCGUAAAGGGCGCGUAGGCGGCCUGGUAAGUCUGGAGUGAAAGUCCUGCUUGUAAGGUGGGGAUUGCUUUGGAUACUGUCGGGCUUGAGUGCAGGUGAGGUAAGUGGAAUUCCCGGUGUAGCGGUGAAAUGCGUAGAGAUCGCGAGGAACACCAGUGGCUAAGGCGACUUACUGGACUGUAACUGACGCUGAGGCGCGAAAGUGUGGGUUGCAAACAGGAUUAGAUACCAUGGUAGUCC